CCGGUGACUUUAAUGCGAAGCCCGACUCUUCUCCAGACACUGAAUUUGUUUUAAUUAGAAAAACAGCCCUAGGUUCAGAAAAAUUCAAAAAUGCGUCUGAGAUUGGUUUCAGGUAAAGCAAAUCCAGUCCAGAGAUUUUAGCACAUGUUUUAAAGUCUAUGUUAUGAAGAUAAACAACCGCGCCGCACGUCACACAGCUCUAAAGAAGCUAAUCAGCAUCUGAAGACAUCCACCUGCUGCCUUGAUGCUCUGCCAACAAGCUGCUUUUAAAGUGACUCUGGCUGUCUGGCAACAGACCUGCUGCAAUUAGUGAACCGUAUUUGCCGUCAUUAUGUAAUUUCCCUGAUGUUUUCAGACGCCCCGCAACAAGGAUGAACAUCUGUGAGGGGGUGAUGACAGACCCUGUGAUUUCUUCUUGUAAAUGAAAAGACGGUUUUUUCGCAGGUAAGGAGUGGGAUUGUCUGUCGGCUUUCAAAUGUUUCAGCCUGAGUUAAAGCUCCAGUGAGGAAUUUUUGGUUUGUGUUGACUUUGGCGCCCUCCUGUGGACAAAGCCUUUUCUCUUCAGUGAUUUUUGUCCUGACGCUUUGAAACCUAAAAAUAUCUCUGUAGACUUACAAAAAUAAUCGUUAAGCUACAUGAUGGUAGUAGUCGGCGACAGGAGCGCUGUUUAAGUCAUGGUUGACGAUCUGAGAAGCCAUUGAGGCAGAUUUGAAAAAAGCGUCUGCCUGGACAGCUACCGUGUUGACAUUGCAGAGACUAAUAAGAGUUAUUUAUGUAACAUGUGCCACGAUAAAAGGUGAUAAAGAUUACCUGUUCAACAAAAACUCUGCUGUCUCAGCGUCUGUUUUUAGGACCAAAUCCUGGCAGAGCUUUCUCUACCGCUCGAAGGAUGACCUGAUGUUUGUUCGAGUUACAUUCCUCGCUUGGUCACAUUUAGGGAUGCACCAAUCCGAUAUUUGAUAUGGGUAUUGGUACCGAUACUGAAGAGAAAUUCUAGAUUGGGUAUCGUGACAAUCGGCCCAAUGCAUAGGGGCCGAUCUAUUGAGUGGCAUCCACAAGUAAACAUGCUGAACGGAUGCCCGCACUGUUUUCAAAAUGGAGCGAGCAAAGGGGUCUGCUAUCUUGAACUUUAUCAUGAUACCUCAGCCUACAAGCUCGACCGCCGCUUGUAACACCUGCGCAGUAAACGUUCCAAGAGGCAGUGGUAAAACUUCAAGUGAACUUCACUGAAGUGCAUGUAAACACCUUAGUCUGACUGUAAUUGGAGUUUGAGAACUCUGAAUAAGACACCCAGAUAAUGCGAUUGAAAUUCAAUUUUCUCUACCAUGUAACUAGUGACGUCGGCAUAUGAUUGGACAAUGCGCGUGUGCCACGCCUCCGUAACCCCGGAACAAAAACACCAGAGAAGAAGUGGCACGAUCAUUUAAAGAACUUUCGACUCAGAAGCAACUGAAUGUCCACUUUAGGAACGACGAUGAGAGUGCCUUUAUGCUUUCCGUCCUGACAGAAAUGGGCAUUUUAAAGUAUUUGGACGUUUGCAAGACGAGGAAUGAAGACAUCUUUAUAAAAGGUCCAGAAACAGCGCCGCUGAAAAGACCCAUAUCGCCCCCUAGUUUUAAAGAGGAGAACACGUUCACGUCAAUAAUUAGACUUUCGCAGCAGCAUGUAUAUGUGGACAAGGAGAGAAGUCCGAUUCUGCGAAAAAAGAACGAAUUAUGAGCUUAGUCCGAUUAAGCUGUGCAUGUAAACGCACCGAUUGACUCGUCCUCUGCUGCAGCUGCUUCUUCAUGUUCCCUGUUUUAUGGCAGGUGGCAAAGAACCACUAGCAAAGUAUUAGCAUAUGCCAAACUUCAGCAAAAUAUCAGUAUAUCCUAUUUCUAUAAAAAGACGGUUGCCUCUAGAUCACGAUCUAUUGCCUCUGGAAUAACAUAUUGAGAUCACAUUAUUACACAGUAUAUCUGCUAUUCUCUGCGAAACCAUUAUGUAAAAAAAAAAAAAGUGUUCUCUUUGAAACAUGCAAAUACUUUUUACAAGUUCAAAUGAGGCUUUUGUAAUAGAAAUGAGUAAUUAUGGAUUUGUGCCGAGGUGUUGAGAAAUCUGCAUACUUCCCUCUGUGGUUGUCUGUAAUGAAUUCUAACAGGUAGAAAAAUCCAUUUAUCAACUUCUGCAUGUCAUAGAGAGUCAGCUGUAAUUAAAAGCCGCCCUUUAAUAAGCCAAACAUGUCCAAUAACUGAGGUGACAUUAAAAUCAUUUCGCCCACAGGCACUAACGUCACCGCUGUUAAUGGCUCUGUGUGUUUGUCUCCAUACAAGAAUAUAAAGUAGGAGGUUUUUCAGUCAGUGACGGUAUCUGACUGAUUCUGAAAAAGAAAAAAACAUCUGGAUUUAAAUAGCUAUGAGUCACCAGAUAUGUCAGAUAAACUGAGAGCUUCUUCUUUAAACAGGCUUAUCUGGAGUCUUUGUUUCCAAGAUUAGAUCCAGAUUAAAUUUAGACAGCAGCAGGAAGGACAAACACACGAGUUAUUUCAGACUCUGACCUAAAAAAAUCCAGAUUUUAACGGAACAAUCUGCAUCUCUCUUUCAGAUACACUCUCUAUGUUGUUUUGAAAUCCUUCACCGUGGCUCUGUGGUGCUUUCUGUACUUUCCACUGACCUCUCUCUCUCCCUCUCGCGCUCCGUCUCUGCUGUGUCACCAUCUGCGUCCCAAAAUGACUCCUCUCAUCCAAACAGCACCCACUGGGUCCUCCUCCGCCCCGCCAAGGCCCAGAACAAACAACCAUCCAUGUUGGCAGCGGUGGGCGUGUCGCAGAGCUGAGAAACAGAGUGACGGUCGCUGGAUUUACGUCACCG
Molecule: non-coding RNA, 2849 nt
Organism: Xyrichtys novacula (pearly razorfish)
Lineage: Eukaryota; Metazoa; Chordata; Actinopteri; Labriformes; Labridae
Source: the annotation of a GenBank genome assembly